GCUGGGCACGGUGGCAUGUGCCUGUAGUCCCAGCUACUCGGGAAGCUGAGAUGGGAGGAUCGCUUGAGCCCAGGAGUUCUGGGCUGUAAUGCACUAUGCCGAUCGAGUGGCCAUGCUAAGUUCGGCAUCAAUAUGGUGACCUCCUGGGAGCAGGAGACCACCAAGUUGCCUAAGGAGGGUGAACCGGCCCAGGUCAGAAACUGAGCAGGUCAAAACUCCCGCGCUGGUCAGUAGUGGGAUCGCACCUGUGAAUAGCCACUGAACUCCAGCCUGGGCAACAUAGCGAGACCCCAUCUCUU
Molecule: unclassified non-coding RNA, 299 nt
Organism: Callithrix jacchus (white-tufted-ear marmoset)
Lineage: Eukaryota; Metazoa; Chordata; Mammalia; Primates; Cebidae
Rfam family: Metazoan signal recognition particle RNA
About the family: The signal recognition particle (SRP) is a universally conserved ribonucleoprotein. It is involved in the co-translational targeting of proteins to membranes.
Source: Ensembl